This 28-nucleotide non-coding RNA is filed under the name Mus musculus (house mouse). The record is from RNAcentral. Lineage: Eukaryota; Metazoa; Chordata; Mammalia; Rodentia; Muridae.
UUGGAAAAGCUUAUCCAUAUACAGGUUG